GACGAACGCUGGCGGCGUGCUUAACACCUGCAAGUCGAACGAAGUGGCGAACGGGUGAGUAAUACGUGGGUAACCUGCCCUCCUUUUUGGGAUAAGCCUUGGAAACGGGGUCUAAUACCGAAUAAAGGGGGAUGGGCUCGCGGCCUAUCAGCUUGUUGGUGGGGUGAUGGCCUACCAAGGCGGUGACGGGUAGCGGGCCUGAGAGGGUGACCGGCCACAUGGGGACUGAGUGACGGCCCAGACCCCUACGGGAGGCAGCAGUGGGGGGUAUUGCACAAGGGGCGAAAGCCUGAUGCAGCGACGCCGCGUGGGGGAUGAAGGCUUUGGGGUUGUAAACCUCUUUCGCUACCGACCGGUUGGGGGGGGAAGAAGCGCCGGUUACUACGUGCCAGCAGCCGCGGUAAUAC
RNAcentral lists this ribosomal RNA (407 nucleotides) under uncultured bacterium. RNAcentral's name for it is "partial 16S ribosomal RNA". It matches the Rfam family "Bacterial small subunit ribosomal RNA", at positions 28 to 526 of the family's 1533-position model. The record is from RNAcentral.